This 206-nucleotide long non-coding RNA is filed under the name Elaeis guineensis (African oil palm). RNAcentral describes it as "long non-coding RNA (EGUI_LNC035059)". Lineage: Eukaryota; Viridiplantae; Streptophyta; Magnoliopsida; Arecales; Arecaceae. The record is from RNAcentral.
GCACUGAUCAGCUUCUGUGGGAGUGCUAGCUCGCGUAGAAACUUGUAGAUGGCUGAUCUUCUCCUCCUAUGGAUCUCUCGAAUGCCUCUAAAACCAUAGGAAGAAUAAGAAGGAACUAGUGAUGGAAAGAUGAAAGUAGAACUCUCUUCUCUUUUGACUUUUUCCUCACCCAAAAAUCCUACAACAAAUUUCUAGGACACUCACCU